This 502-nucleotide ribosomal RNA is filed under the name uncultured soil bacterium. Its description in RNAcentral is "bacterial SSU rRNA". It matches the Rfam family "Bacterial small subunit ribosomal RNA", at positions 26 to 523 of the family's 1533-position model. The record is from RNAcentral.
AGAUUGAACGCUGGCGGCAGGCCUAACACAUGCAAGUCGAGCGCGAAAAUUUCUUCGGAGAUGAGUAGAGCGGCGGACGGGUGAGUAACGCGUAGGAAUUUGCCCAGUAGUGGGGGACAACUCGGGGAAACUCGAGCUAAUACCGCAUACGCCCCAAGGGGGAAAGCAGGGGAUCUUCGGACCUUGCGCUAUUGGAUAAGCCUGCGUCGGAUUAGCUAGUUGGUAGGGUAAAGGCCUACCAAGGCGACGAUCCGUAGCUGGUCUGAGAGGAUGAUCAGCCACACUGGGACUGAGACACGGCCCAGACUCCUACGGGAGGCAGCAGUGGGGAAUAUUGGGACAAUGGGGGGCAACCCUGAUCCAGCCAUGCCGCGUGUGUGAAGAAGGCCUUAGGGUGUAAAGCACUUUCAGUGGGAGGAAAAGUCGGCGGCUAAUAUCCGUUGACCCUGACGCUACCCACAGAAGAAGCAACCGGCAAACUCCGCGCCAGCAGCCGCGGUAA